ACGGGUGAGUAACGCGUGGGAACAUACCCUCCGGUUCGGAAUAGCUCAGGGAAACUUGGAUUAAUACCGGAUACGGCCUAGCGGCGAAAGAUUCAUCGCCGGAGGAUUGGCCCGCGUCUGAUUAGCUAGUUGGUGGGGUAAUGGCCCACCAAGGCGACGAUCAGUAGCUGGUCUGAGAGGAUGAUCAGCCACACUGGGACUGAGACACGGCCCAGACUCCUACGGGAGGCAGCAGUGGGGAAUAUUGGACAAUGGGCGAAAGCCUGAUCCAGCAAUGCCGCGUGAGUGAGGAAGGCCUUAGGGUUGUAAAGCUCUUUCGGCGGGGGCGAUGAUGACGGUACCCGCAGAAGAAGCCCCGGCUAACUUCGUGCCAGCAGCCGCGG
This 383-nucleotide ribosomal RNA is filed under the name uncultured bacterium. RNAcentral's name for it is "bacterial SSU rRNA". It matches the Rfam family "Bacterial small subunit ribosomal RNA", at positions 102 to 520 of the family's 1533-position model. The record is from RNAcentral.